UAGGGAAUCUUCCGCAAUGGGCGCAAGCCUGACGGAGCAACGCCGCGUGAGUGAUGAAGGUCUUCGGAUCGUAAAACUCUGUUAUUAGGGAAGAACAAACGUGUAAGUAACUGUGCACGUCUUGACGGUACCUAAUCAGAAAGCCACGGCUAACUACGUGCCAGCAGCCGCGGUAAUACGUAGGUGGCAAGCGGUAUCCGGAAUUAUUGGGCGUAAAGCGCGCGUAGGCGGUUUUUUAAGUCUGAUGUGAAAGCCCACGGCUCAACCGUGGAGGGUCAUUGGAAACUGGAAAACUUGAGUGCAGAAGAGGAAAGUGGAAUUCCAUGUGUAGCGGUGAAAUGCGCAGAGAUAUGGAGGAACACCAGUGGCGAAGGCGACUUUCUGGUCUGUAACUGACGCUGAUGUGCGAAAGCGUGGGGAUCAAACA
This 427-nucleotide ribosomal RNA is filed under the name uncultured bacterium. Its description in RNAcentral is "partial 16S ribosomal RNA". It matches the Rfam family "Bacterial small subunit ribosomal RNA", at positions 355 to 774 of the family's 1533-position model. The record is from RNAcentral.